Gasterosteus aculeatus aculeatus (three-spined stickleback) is the source of this 8427-nucleotide long non-coding RNA. NCBI's taxonomy places the organism in Eukaryota, Metazoa, Chordata, Actinopteri, Perciformes, Gasterosteidae. The record is from Ensembl.
CGGCCAGUGACACUACAGCAGAGUCAUUUAGAAACCUAAGCAACCCAGCCCUCAUGGGAUCACAUGACUUCACCUCAUGGGAUCACAUGACCACCCCUCAGUGGACAUGACCGUGAGACUGUCAGACUGUGGUCUGUAAAAGCUGAAGAGGUAAAAGCACAACCUGCUAUGGUUCGGAGGGUCAGAGGAACCUUUAUCUUCACCUGGUUCUCACAUGUAGACUAUUUAUUUAACUGUAACAAAAUCUGAGGUUCUCAAACAAACCCGUAGGGUUCAAGUCAGCAGCGAGCCACAGAAGUCCAAGUCAGAGGAAGCGUCGACUGUGGUGAUAUUUCUGUUUCCAGCUGAAAUUGGAAACAGGAGCAGAGAAGAAAGUCUGCUGAUGUUUAGAAAGUACACAGCAGAGGCUGUAUGAAGGAGUAAGAUACAUUUACCUCACAGGUAAGACAAAUAAAUGAAUAGAUGGAUGUGGAAAACAAAAUCAGCACAGGGCUGACGAGUUGGCCUGCGUCAGAUUAAAAGAUUAAAACGGAGGGCAGGAAGUUUAAAAAAAGAACCGGUAAUUAUUGAAGCCAAGCCAGUCAUCAUUGACUCCAAGGGGUGUAUCCGGCUCAAACUGGUCUCCGAUAAAGGCCACCAGCAACACAUGUGCUUCUCGAUAUACCUGAGUUCAGACCAGGCCAGUGACGACAUUUAAAGGUUUACUGAUAAUUAAUAAUCAAGACGCAGUGUUCAGCAGCCAUCUCUAUAUCUGUAUGGUAUAUAUAUAUAUAUAUAUAUAUAUAUAUAUAUAUAUAUAUAUAUAUAUAUAUAUAUCCCAGUACAAUGAAAGGUGUUUUUUCACAAUACAACAGGUGGCACAAUAAUGCCAUAAUGAGCAUUACGGUGUAGUUGAGUGUUUCUUUAUUUUGUUAUAGAUAUGAAUCUGCAGAGCGCAAUGAGGCGGAACUGUUUAUUAUAACUUAUUCAUGGCGAGGAAGCAGCUGCAUGCAAAGACAAAUGUCAGCCAGUGGGUUUCACUUUCCACUGUCUCUGCUGUCCCUCCCCGCAGCACGCAUUCACACAAGUUCUUAUUAUCCAGAAGGGUGGGGGGGCGGCGUUUUGACUCACGGCCAGGCUGUAAACGCCCCCCCACCCACACUUGAUGCAAGUCCACUGGAAACGAAAGGCCCUCGUGAAGCACAUCACCACGCACCUCUGUAAUUGGGCCGCUAUUUCGUGACAACGCGUCCGCACACACAUGGGCCCCCACUUCCGACUUCACACCGGCGGGGAGCGCACACCCAUCCCCCCCCCAACACCCGACCGACAGUGUCUUCUUUCCGCCACCCCGGUGGGGGAGGCAUGUGAUUCUUGGCUCCGGCUCAGAACUCCAGGUGCAUUGCGACACAUUCUCCCGCCACUAAUGGCUCCUUGAGCGUAAAAAAAGAGAAAAGCUCCUGUCCCACUGACAUUUAUGCAGAGCAACAAGCAGCGGCGCAUGUGCGUGAUAAUUAGGACGCGGGCUCCGCGGAGCCUCUCCGCGGCUCCUUCGGUCUCUCGGUUAUGUGCCCGCCGGGGGAGUUUUAUUUUUAGCUCCUUGGUCUUUGAUUAAAAUAUGACUCUCUUGUUGACCUUCACACCUGCCGCAGCGCUGCCAAGUCCACUGCAACACGAGCACUUGAUAAAUAAAGAGCUGUCACCGGAACCGCUGACAAGACACAAUCAAUUCUCCCCGUGCUGGGGCCCUUCCCCUGGUCCCCGUGAGCGCUGCUAGGGGGGAAGGGACCCAUCCUUCCCUGCCAAUGUUUCUCCAUUUUACGUAAUGGCUUGUGUGUGUAACCAGCUUGGUCGGUCCUUCGGCGCCGGCUGGAAAGAUCGGAUGGGUGUGUUCGACAUUUAGUAUAAAUGUUUGUGGUCCCCAGAGACACAAAGUCCCGCCAAUUCAGGUGGACCAGAGAGGGAGAAAUGUCUCUUCGACACAUUUGAACCACGUUUGAACUGUGCAAUGACUAAAAAUAUGUUUGUUAAAAAGACAAUAUUACAUUUGGACUUUGGAAAGCUAAACAAUUUCACUCAUUGUCAUUGACGUGUGACAAUAUCAUGUUAGCUCAUUUACAUUUGACUUAGUAUGCACAAUUUUUGUGUUUUUCCCAAACUCAUACGCACGGUUGUAGGUUGUGGUUUGGAUUCACAACUUUAACCACAUAACUGUGGAAUAAUCACAUGGACAGACUGAACCGCUUGCAGCUAACAGUGCUAACUGUGCUCACAGUGCUAACAGAGGUAAAUGACGGGGGUGGAGGGGCAGUCUUACACGUCUGUGUAACGUGUUUCAGCACCACGGACAGCGCCGCAGAAACACACAACAAACAGCGCUGUCCGUUAUUAUUAACUCACUAGUCUGUCUUUUUGGCCUCCGCUCCAAAAACGGCACACCGUGAUAAAAAAAAUGUAAUAACUCACUCUCUUCCAUUCAUAAUUAGCCCCGAGGAGACAAAUGUCUUAGACACAAACGCGUCCUGUAUUCUAUUCACGAUGUUGCGCACUGGGUUCACGCUCCGGUGGGUUUGGGUUUUAGUGGAAUCCACCUCGUGGUGCUGCUGUGUUGCUCAGUAUCUGUGGUGAACUUCCCUGUGCAGUGAGCUAGUGGGAAUCUAUUAUACUGUACGAGGAGCGGUGAAGGAUUUGGGGCAUCAGAGGAGGCCGUGAGACACGAAGUGGCGGACGCUAGAUGGACGAGCGGAUGGAAAUAUCGAUCGGAGCUGGAAAGAGUAAAUGACAGACAAUGGAUGGAUGAAAAAAUGAGGUAGAUUGGCUGGAAAAAAAUCAGUCUGACUUGCUGCACCUUGUUGGGGCCUUUAUUGCCGAAAUGGAUGAAUGUGUUUUUGGAAGUUCAGAGAAAACAAAGCGUCCCUUUGAUUACCAGAGGGCACAUUAGUCCUUCCACAAGGCUGCAGUUACUUUUGUUUAUUUGUUUCAAAAUAGAUAUAAUGUGACUUUUUAUUCAUUCUUGUAAACAGAAAAAGAUUGAAUACCAAAAUAUAAUAUAAAAUAUAAUACUCAUAUACGUCACUAAGUAGUUUUCUGCAUUAGGUUUGCAUUUGUUUUUAUUUAUUUUUACUUUAUUGUCUCGCUCUAACUUUGUAACUCACUGUAACUCUAUUUAAUUUAUUGUAAUAUAUUUUAAACACAAUGUUCAGCAAGUGGGCCCCGUUGAGGAGCAUCGGAAACGAGAUGAGAACUCUAGACUUUUUGUAUGUGAUCAGAUUGAGCCGCCCUCUCAGAAUGGAGCGUUAAUGUCACGGCUGUUUUUCAUGGACAUGAGAACAAAGCCACUUCAAAUAGAACAAAUAAAAGCAGCACAAUGCUUUUUAGAAACAAACCUACUUGUGUCGUUUAAAAGGUCAGCGGUGCGUUCAGGCACUCUGUUGGUCCAGCUCAUUAGCAAACGCAGAGUUGUGUUAUGUCGUUGAGGUGCUACUACAUCCACCCCUGUCAUAAAAUCAAUACACCAUCCUCCGAAGGCUCCACCAAUAAAUAACUCAUACUGGCUUUGUCACAAACCCGUUAGAGGGCCGACUCUUAAAAAACGGUUUCAAGAGCGAGAGGGAGAGCAGAUGUGGCGAUUUGGUUAAAAGAAAAAACACGCACAUCGUAAAUAUCUUCCCUCGGUACUCGAGCAGAACCGGUGUUAUUUGUUCUCUGUGGCACGCCGUCUUUGUUUCUUCCUUUCUUUAUGUGUGUGUGUGUGUGUGUGUGUGUGUGUGUGUUUGUUAUUGUUAGGUUGGUUCUUCAAGUGGAGCCCUGAAUAUGCCGGUAAGACACAGUGCACAGAUGUGUUGAAAAAUCAAAACAAGGAUCAGCAUGAGAGCACACGCCUCAGCACGCACACACACACACACACACACACACGCGCACACACACGCACACGCACGCACACGGACACACACGCACACACACACACACGCACACACACGCACACACACGCACACACAAACACACACACACAGGCACACACACGCGCCAACUGCCUCGACAUGAAGCCGAUGCUGUUUUCUAGGUCACCGUCGCGCCGAGUGAAUUGACAAGUUUUCCGAUCUUGGUAAAAAACGUUUGAAGUUAUUUCCAGUAAUUGGAUGAAUGAAUUUAUGAUUAUGCAACUUUUUCUCUCUUCUUUUUAAAUUCUUGCAUUUAAAAAAAAAAACUUCCUAAAACAAAUUUACAAUAGCUCCCACUCACUUAUUUAUCUCAAGCUUUCAACCUCAUCACAUGCUCUUCAGUUAGAAAUGUAUGUGUUAACAACCUCUAGGACAAAUGUGAUUUUGCUGUACGUCGGCUUUUUUACGAUUUGGAAACAACCUCAGGUUGUUCUCACUAUUUCUGGAGCUUUCCACUGUGUCAAACUGUCUUUAACUGCAAAGACGUUCUCCUCUGUUAUUGCCUAAAUGAAGAUGUUAAAACUCUCAGUGAUCACCUUGCACGUGUUUGCUGUAAUGCUUUGAAUAAGUAGUUCACCAACCCAAUAUGAACUCCACGUUCGUUCACUCAUGUAUCUGGAGCUUUCUGCCACAUCACAUGGUCUUCAUCAGCACAUUGAGUUGGCUUAGUUGUCGUGAAAAUGAAGAUGCUCAAACAACAUCAAGGAUACAUGAUUGUUUUUCCUGUGUUGGCUUAAAAAUUCAUGACUUGACAACUCAUCAACUGUCAAUUCACUCGCUUGUUCUGCAGCUUCCAAAGAUUUGAUCUGUAAUCUGAAACGCUGCAGCAGAAGAAAGACUUUAUGCAUAUGGAGAGAAUAUUUAAGUCCAUUUUUUAAUUUUGAACACUGAAACCUGAAACACAAAAUAUUGUGUAUGUCUAAAACUUUGUUUCUGAAUGCAAUUUCAGUGAUAUGCAGAAUCGUCUAAUAUGAAGAUCCUAGUAAAAGGGAACGCUUGGUUGCAGCAACGAUACAAAAGCAUUGAAUAGUUUAAACCUUCAAUCCGACAACCAAUUGAGUAAAUUCAAGCUGCUGAUUUUGUGACACAACCAACAGCUGCAGAAAUGUUACAUGUUUAUUCAAUCAUUAUUAGCUAAAUGGCGUCAGACUUUUCCCCUUCAUGCUCCUUGAUCACUUGUCACCUAAAUGUGAGUCAACCUCACACCAGAGCAAGAAAAACCAACUCAAUGCAUUAUUUGUCCUCAAAACGAAAAUGAAUCCAACGAAAAAGGUUCCUGCCAUGUUUCAGUGACGUUGACACAUGUCUACCCACAUAUAGCCUGGUUUAACCAAGAAUGGAACCUAUUCCACCCAGAUCUGGUCUGGUUCCACCCAGAUCUCCUCAUUUUCUAUCCAGAUCUGGUCUGGUUCCACCCGGAUCUCAUUUUCUAUCCAGAUCUGGUGCUAUUCUACUCAAAUCGGGUCCUGUUCUACCAAGAUCUCAAAUGUAAUACUAUUUUGAACAAAAGUGACUGAAACAUUGAAGGUUUAGGUUACACAGGAUGCCUUCAGUGUACCAUCCAAGUAAAGUGUCUUUUGCUGUCAUCUAUGAGAGGUCAAGUUUCAUGAUUAAUGGACUGUCCAGCAGCCGUUGCUACAGCAGCUGACCAGGGACAUAAAAUUACAAUGCCGCAGAGGAGACAUUAUAACCCGUCCCUUGUUGCAGCUCCAUACUUACUCCUUACUUGAUCUAUGUUUGGUAUCAGAUGCAUAUGCUAUUGUACGUGCUUCUUUGAAGGGGAUUAACCCUCAGCAUGGCCGUCAAAGGGCUUAGUCUUCUCCAACAAACCUCCUUCUACAACCACACAUAUAAAUGCUCUCUGGGUGGAGGUUGGUUGGUUUGUUGGUUUGUUUGUUGAUUUAUUUAUAAAUCAAAGGAACUGCCUCCUUAUCUGUUUUUUUCUGUUGAAAAUAAAAGAUCAGCAGCAACAGUUACAUUUUAAACUACAAUAUUUUAUUGAAAUGGAUGUUUUUUGCAAAUCCUCACAUAUGAGAAACCACAUGCAGAGGAUAUUUUUCUCUUUUUUGUUAUUUAGACCCAUCACAGGGCAGCAACCUCCCCCCUGUAGGGGAAACGUCUUCAUCGGCGAGCGCGCUCAUGUGAGGAGAAGACGUUCGUCCGAACCCGGGGUCCGAGAGCGUGACCCACCCCGCUUGCAGCUUUGUCAUUGACUGUGCAUCUGGAAUGACGCACACACACACACACACACACACACACACACACACAUGACUCGACGACGCGGGUGUGACAUGUCUAGAUUGGAGAUAAAUUGCGUUUCAGAUUAGAUGGAGGAGGAACGGGGGGGAAGGAGGGGGGGGGGGAGCCAACGACAGUCUGCUUCAUGGUGAACUCCGCCAGCUGCAGGAAAAAAAAAAGGGAUUAAAAACCAGCUUCACCGAAAAUCCACAUCGAGACCAAAAUGAAUUACAGUAAAGCGUGCAGGAGCCCGCCGGCUUGAUUAAACUGAUAUUGGCACCUGAGUGGCGGACAGGUGUGUGCUCAGCAGCUCAGGUACACUGUGUGCCGUACCAGCAGCACGCUAACACGCCACCGGGCCUCGGCCUCCUGCUUUUCGCCACGAGUGACAAGAUGGCACACUUGUGGGAAGUGGGUAAGAGGGGGGGGGGGCACUGUCACCCUGUAUUAAAGCAUCCUCUGAAUAAUGCCCCCUUGCACGUCACUGGGUCUAAAGAAAGCUUUAGCGCAGUGUGCAUGAAGCAUUCCUUGCACUCGAAGGCUUGAUGGUCUGAAUAAUUGCAAAACAACCGUGGCUCCUCCUGAUUGUAAACAGAAUAACUCUCGCCUCAUCAAAUGAGGCGUCGUGUGAAAUGUGGGUUUUGAUAGAAACUGGCAGGAAGAGAAGUGUAACGUCUUGUUAGCCUCACUCAUACAUACUCCCCUGUGUUCCCCACUCCAGUUUUCCGAUUGUCGUAAUUCUUCCCCUCGUGACAAGGCUCUGUGUCUUGGUAGUGUCUGUGACUGCCCCUACUUGUGGAUUUUCCUCGCUCCCGGUUGGAGUUGUUUUGAGUCUCUUUUUGUUCCCCAGUAAAGAAUCACCUUUUUUCAAGUUAAAUCUGGUCUCCAGUUUUCAAUCUAACCUAUGUGUUAACGUGAAAAGGGAAAGGGGAGAAGUCUCGAGGAUAUUAAGUAAGAACUGCACCUGUGACGCCAUCUUUCCCCUCGCGACCAUAAUCAAUACCAAUCAAUACCAUCAAAGUCUAACGUUGCAUGUGUUGCUCCAUAAGUAAUCCUAAUCAUUUCUACCAGCUCUAUGGAGCUUUUAAGCCUCUCUCAGCUCAUGGUUUCGGUUUCUUGGCAAAGAAAGGUCACUGUUUUGUUUCUCUCUCAUGGUUUCAGAGAAAAAGCUGUAAAACUUCUCCCUCUCUGCUCUGCAGCAAGCAGCAGACUGACACAAUCAGAGACUAAAUGAUGAAUAUUGUGGAGAAGGAAGAAGUAGGGAACAUAAAAGUGAACAUUCCGGCAGGAUGUGUUCAACAACCAACAAUAUAUUACACAGGAGACAUCACUUUGUUGCUCUUUUGAAACAAGGAGUCAAUGUUGAUUUAUUUGAGAUGUCAGUUACGUAGUUACAGAGCUUCUGUGGUUAUUUAAACACAAACAACAAUCUUUAGUUAAACCUAAGUUUAAACUUACAUUAAACCUAUCUCAGUUUUUACUUGCAAAGACAGAUGUUUAUUUUGAAAAAUCUUGUUUAUGCGACACACACUUGUUGGAAUUUUGUUUCAAAAUGCACCAAAAAUUAUGAGUAUCUUCAUGAGAGAUAAAAUAUGAGUGAAAACGCCAACGUUGUCUACUUGCCCAGUAGCAGUCACACUGAUGAAGAUAGUGGAGUAUCUAGAGUCAUAUCAGGAGGUGGUGGAGACCAAAAACGGAGCUCAACAGUCUCUGAAGAAAUGCUCAUGCCACUUCUUACUGCUGCCCCCAGGUGGCCGAGACCAUUAUUGCUAAUUGAAAUAAUCCAAAAGUAAAGAAAAGACAACCUAAUAAACCUAAUUGUUUUAAAGAUUUGAUUACUGAGGAUCCCAAAUGGUCACCGGUCGAUGGACUGAGCACUGACCUUAACACAUUUAUUAGUAUCUUUUUAAGAGCAUGUUAGUUUGCUUUGGGUUUUAUUUACAAAGAACCCCGGGGAGAUGCUGUAACUUUCUUUUUUUCCAUCGCACUGUGGGGCCAUCUGUCCCUCACCGCCCGAUCUGUCACCUCGGAGUUUGGCUCCGUAUCAGCUGUGGACGGGGACACGUGACAAACGGUUCCCUUCUCUCGUCCGGAGAACCGAGGCGUUCUUCCGGUGUGAGGGGUCGCGGCAGAACCACCGCGGCAUCUGCGCGCAGGACUCCGAGGCUGGAAGUGAAGCCGGGGCGGGGCGGGGCGGGGGAGUUGUGGGUAGAGAGAGGAGGAGGAGGAGGAGGAGGAGGAGGAGGAGGAGGAACACGACCGUGCAACC